AAGAGUGUUUCUCGAUAGCCCCUCUUACCUUCCCCAAGGUCAUCAACCUUGGGCGGAUCGGGUCGUUCUUUCCCUGCCUCACUCUUGGGGUGAGAAGGGUUUAAACUAAGAGCUUUACUGGGCCAACAUUGGUAUAUGCCAAGUGGGUAAGGAUGUUUGUCGAAAUCCUUCCUUUCCCUCUCUUAGUCUUACUAGCACCCCUGGCUUUUCAAAC
This 214-nucleotide long non-coding RNA is filed under the name Phaseolus vulgaris (common bean). Its description in RNAcentral is "long non-coding RNA (PVUL_LNC005024)". Lineage: Eukaryota; Viridiplantae; Streptophyta; Magnoliopsida; Fabales; Fabaceae. The record is from RNAcentral.